AUACGUAGGGAGCGAGCGUUGUCCGGAAUUACUGGGCGUAAAGGGCGCGUAGGCGGCGCUUCAAGUCGUCUGUCAAAUGGGAGGGCUUAACCCUUUUUCGCAGACGAAACUGGAGAGCUUGAGAAGCAGAGAGGCAAACAGAUUUCCUGGUGUAGCGGUGAAAUGCGUAGAUAUCAGGAAGAAUACCAGUGGCGAAGGCGGUUUGCUGGCUGCAUACUGACGCUGAAGCGCGAAAGCCAGGGGAGCAAACGGGAUUAGAUACCCCGGUAGUCCUGGCAGUAAACGAUGUAUGCUGGGUGUGAGACUAGCGAUAGUUUCGUGCCGAAGUUAACGCGAUAAGCAUACCGCCUGGGGAGUACGGUCGCAAGAUUGAAACUUAAAGGAAUUGACGGGG
Molecule: ribosomal RNA, 394 nt
Filed under: uncultured bacterium
Lineage: Bacteria
Description: partial 16S ribosomal RNA
Rfam family: Bacterial small subunit ribosomal RNA
Source: RNAcentral